Nannospalax galili (Upper Galilee mountains blind mole rat) is the source of this 104-nucleotide small nuclear RNA. The record is from Ensembl. Lineage: Eukaryota; Metazoa; Chordata; Mammalia; Rodentia; Spalacidae.
GUGCUCUCAUCAGCACAUAUACUGAAACUGGAACAAUACAUAGAAGAUUAGCAUGGCCUCUGCGUGAGGAUGACACGCAGAUCCGUGAAGUGUUGCAGUAAAAA